CACGUAGUUAGCCGGUGCUUCUUCUCCACCUACCGUCAAACCCACAACAAGUGAGCCCUUCGUCGAUGAUGAAAGGAGUUUACAACCCGAAGGCCUUCAUCCCCCACGCGGCGUCGCUGCAUCAGGCUUGCGCCCAUUGUGCAAUAUUCCCCACUGCUGCCUCCCGUAGGAGUCUGGGCCGUGUCUCAGUCCCAAUGUGGCCGUCCACCCUCUCAGGCCGGCUACCCGUCGCCGCCUUGGUAGGCCAUUACCCCACCAACAAGCUGAUAGGCCGCGGGCCCAUCCUGCACCGAAAAAACUUUCCACCACAUCCUCACGAUGCGGUCCUAUCCGGUAUUAGACCCAGUUUCCCAGGCUUAUCCCGAAGUGCAGGGCAGGUCACCCACGUGUUACUCACCCGUUCGCCACUCGAGUACCCCCGAAGGGGCCUUUCCGUUCGACUUGCAUGUGUUAAGCACGCCGCCAGCGUUCAUCCUGAGCCGAGGAUCAAACUC
RNAcentral lists this ribosomal RNA (494 nucleotides) under uncultured Corynebacterium sp. RNAcentral's name for it is "partial 16S ribosomal RNA". The record is from RNAcentral. Lineage: Bacteria; Bacillati; Actinomycetota; Actinomycetes; Mycobacteriales; Corynebacteriaceae.